UCGACGUCGAGUCUAUCCUCCCGCCACCAUCGCCAACCUCAUGGGCUAUCAUUGCAGUGUCUCUGUAGCGUUGGGAAGGCUGCACACACUAUUAGAAGGGGAAGAAGGAGAGUAGAGAGGCUGCAUGCAGUUGCUGCCCCCCUAAAGAAACUCCAACGUGCAGUUUCCUUCUCUUCUAUUCCCGCUGGCAGAGAGGCGAGAAGAGGAAGAAGAGAACCCGCUCCUUCCGAUCUCUUUCGCCUGAAGAAAAAACAGAAGGGAGAAGCCUCUUUUCCUCUGUUCGAUGGAGAGCAAAGGGCUGUAGAAACAAACUUCUUGAGUUUGUUUACUUUUUCUGUUACAAUCUCUAUUCCUCUAGCAAUCUCUGUUCCCGCUGGUAGAGAGGCG
Molecule: long non-coding RNA, 387 nt
Filed under: Musa acuminata (dwarf banana)
Lineage: Eukaryota; Viridiplantae; Streptophyta; Magnoliopsida; Zingiberales; Musaceae
Description: long non-coding RNA (MACU_LNC010699)
Source: RNAcentral